This 373-nucleotide ribosomal RNA is filed under the name uncultured organism. RNAcentral's name for it is "partial 16S ribosomal RNA". It matches the Rfam family "Bacterial small subunit ribosomal RNA", at positions 527 to 896 of the family's 1533-position model. The record is from RNAcentral.
GUAGGUGGCAGGCGUUGUCCGGAAUUAUUGGGCGUAAAGCGCGCGCAGGUGGUUCUUUAAGUCUGAUGUGAAAGCCCCCGGCUCAACCGGGGAGGGUCAUUGGAAACUGGGGAACUUGAGUGCAGGAGAGGAAAGUGGAAUUCCACGUGUAGCGGUGAAAUGCGUAGAUAUGUGGAGGAACACCAGUGGCGAAGGCGACUUUCUGGCCUGUAACUGACACUGAGGCGCGAAAGCGUGGGGAGCAAACAGGGAUUAGAUACCCUGGUAGUCCACGCCGUAAACGAUGAGUGCUAAGUGUUGGGGGGGUUUCCCGCCCCUCAGUGCUGCAGCUAACGCAUUAAGCACUCCGCCUGGGGAUACGGUCGCAAGACUG